GUUUUCAACCAUUAUGUUUUACCACAUUAAGGAAAAUUGCCAGACAAAACUUUAAUCUGGAAAUUAGAUGGUGAUUUGCCAUACCCAGGCAUGUUCUCAGCCAGUUUUUUCUAGGUUCCUGCAAACAGACACACGUCAGAUGUUUAUCUCAUAUAGAUACAACCAUAAUUAUUUGUUUUCUAAAAGGUCAUGCCAAGUUUCUCUUUUUAAAGAUUAUCAGAUCUCAGGUCUUAGCAAAGAAAUCUUAUGAAAGUAGAGCCUUAGAUGGGAGGAGAUAAAGCUGAUUUUGUACUUAAGUAGUACAGUCAGCUCUCAAGUAUUCACAUUCAUGGAAAAAAUGAUGUAGAUUACAAAAAGAGCUUCCCUCCAUUAGGGUAAAUAACCUGGGAUAAGACAAUUUUAAGAAACUGGUGAGAAGAGUAAACCUUAGCCAAUUGGAUGCGGGACACUGCAUCUGAGACCAAAAGGUGAUGGGGUUCCUGGAAGUCAGAAAACAAGUAGUAGUAGUAGUAGUAGUAGUGUGUGUGUGUGUAUUAGAAGGAUUAAGAUACCAUGGUUUCAGUUUUCGCUGGUAGUUUUAGGCCAAAUGGAAUAGAACUAUCUGCUAUCCAGCUUUGGGACCACUUUCUCAUUACAUACUUCUUUAUGUUCUCAGCAUUAAUUCUUAUGGUGCAUUUAUUAAUCCCAUUACAUUAUUGAUUGAUUGGAACUCUUUUACCUUUGAAUUAAGUACAAUAAUUUUUCAAAUACAGGACAUUAUUUGCCACUUUAGAAUUUGGAAAGGAAGAUAAUAGAGAAAAGAGAGACUAAUAUUAUGUCUAUGGAAACUGAAUGCCCAAGAAUUAACUUCUGUUUUUUUCUCAAUUCUUGUAAAAUUGUAUCUCCAUUGUCCCCAAAUUCAUCAUUUUGAUUCUGAAAUGUUUAAUUAAUUCUUUUUUACUUUUAAUUCAUUAAUUGCUCUUAAGUUUAGGCUCCUUCUAGUCUCCAUUCAUCAUCAACUGUAAGAUAUUUAACUUCAUUAUGUCUCACCUCUUUUUUCUUGCUUGCUUUUGGGAUGUUUUAUGAUAUUUUAUUGGACUGACUUCAUAUAACUUUGGUUGCUUAUUUUUUACUUUGGUGACUUCUUUCUUCUCCAAAACUUCUAUCUCCUAUAAACAUAGCACAUUUUGAUUUACAGUUGUUUACAGAAUCUAAUUUGUUUAAUGUGUUUAUGUGAUUAGGUGACAUUAGUCUUAUGCUAUCUUGAUUGUAAAUAAAAGUGAGAAAUGAUGACAAUAAGUCUCAAUACCAAAAAGAGCUGUUAUAUUGAGAAUGUCCUUGUUUAGAAUACAUUUUUGUUCAGAUAAUUGCCAAUGACAUAUUUAUUUGUCUUUCACAGUAACAAACAAGACAGGACAGAAAAGAAACUGAGGAUCAAUACCAAAAAUGAAACCAUGUUACUGAAGUGAAGACAGAAGCAAAGCUCAAGAUAGGAGAAAUGAUAGCAAUAUAUCACUAAGUCUCUUUCUGCAGCUACAGCUCUCCAACUCAGACAAAUUAAAACUAAGGGACUUGAAAGAAUUUGCUGAUUGAGUUGUGGAACCACUGUCAGUAACUUUAAACAAAUUAUGAAAGUCUGUAAAGAUGUCAAAAAAUUGGAGAGGUAGAUUUCAGAAGUUGUAGGCAGGUAAGAUUUAACCUCAAUGCUUCUAAAAAGUCAAGAAUGUAAUAUUGUAAAUGGUUUGUGUAUACUUAGAAGAGAUCUGGGAGGCAGCAAAGGCCUGUUGGAAACAACUCAUACCAAAGGAGUCUGAUUUCCAUUCUGGAUGGGGUAACUUGGUAGGUAGAAAAAGGAAUGCUCCAGAUAUUGCAUCUCAACAAGUCAUUUGACAAAGUGUCUCAUAAUACCUGAGUCAAUAGGAUGGGAAAUGAGAGCUGAAUACCAGAAUUAGGUGGAAUGAACAACAGAACCCAAACAGUGUUAAUUUAUGUUGCUCUGGAAAGAGUUAUUGAAUGUUGCGCUAUAGAGCUCUGUUCAUGAUCCUGUUCUCUUUUGCAAUUUUAUUUUUUUUUAGAUGAAGACACAGAAGGCAAGUUUAUCAUAUAUGUAAAAGGAAAAAGUUGGGAAAGGCAGUUAACAUUCUGAAUGAUUAACUCAAAAUUGUAAAAGAUGUUGAAUAUUUAUUUAGAACAAAAUAUAAUUUUACAAAAAUGCUAGAAAAAUGGUGGGAACUUUUGUAAGAGCAGAGUUAAAAAAAUAGACUAAGCAUCCCCACCCAGAAAAAAGAAGAAAAAUAAAAAUGGCAUGCAAUGGAUACGAAGAAACUUAAUAGGUGCACAUGUCAAGUUCUGUAUUUAGUUUUGAAAAUCAGAGACCUGAGACUUGAUAGCACUUCAUAGGGAAACAAUCUAGGAAUUUUACUGAUGAGAAGCAGCCUUUGAAUCAAUUAAUAAAACAAAAUGAAACAAAACAAAAAAGCUAAUGCAAUCUUAGGUGGCACUAGUAAAAGCCUAGUAUCCAGAUCUGUAAAAUCAGGGUAAUAAUAAUAAUAAUACCUUCCUCAUAAGAUUUUUGCAAGUAUUAAAUGAGAAAAUUCCUGUAAAACACUUAGGAGUGGUUUAAGUGUAUGCAUUCAAUGAAUAUGUUAUUAUUACUAAAAAGAUAUAUGAUAGUCCUGCUUUACUUGUGCAAAAUCACAUCUAGAAGAGUAUGUCCAUGUAGGGGAUAAUGAGGAGGGUAGAAGUAUCAGAACAAAUGUGAGGACUAGAGAAAACUUGGAUGGAGAAGAUAAGAUAAUGGCAGUCUUCCAAAAUAUUAAGGGCUUGUAAAGAAGAAUUAGAUUUACCCUUCAUGACUCUAAGCAUUACCAAUAGGAGAAAUAAGCAAAAUGCACAGAGACUUAUUUUAGAUCUAUAAGAACAAAUUUCCUAAUAAUCAGAGUUAUUCAAAAUUGAAAUGGACUGUUCAGGAAGUGGUGAGUUUCUUGUCACUUGUGGUGUUUGGACAAAGGCCUGGCAGGAAACUCCAUAAAGGGCAUUCUUGCAUGGGAUGUAUCUAUGCAUGAAUCCAUUUAUUAAGAUUGUUAUGAAACAAUUAGUUAACAGAAACCAGCCGUGGGUCAACAAUCUGAUAAACUCUAGUGGACAUCUAAGGUUCUUUCCAACUCAAUGACUGCAUGAUUUUGAAGAAACAGGUAUAAGCUGUUCCUGACAUGGGAUUUUUUGAUUUCAUAAUGGUGCAAAAGCAAUAUGCAUUCAGUAGAAAUGGUACGUAGAAUUUUGAAUUCUGGCCUUUUUCCAGACUAGCAACAUGAAGUAGGAUACUCCUGUGAUGCUGGGCAGUGGCAGCCAGCCACAGCUCCCAAUCAGUCACUCGAUCAUGAGAGUAAGCAACUGAUCUGUAGGCUAAUGUAAGCUUUCUUAACAUGUUUAACAUAGUCUAGGUUUGAUAGUUUAGGUGUAUUAAAUGCAUUGAUUUUCAAUAUUUUCAACUUACAAUGGGUUUACUGAGAUGUAACCUUAUUAAAAAUCAAGGAAUAACUGUAUCUUCAGCUUCUAGAGAAGAUUGCUAAGCACCAUGUAGAGGUUAUUUUUCUUAGAACUUACCUCUGCUUCUUACUCAUAAUAGCUCCUACAUUGCUUACUGCAAAAGUAAACACCUGCUAUACUAUUCCAUGCUCUGCCCUAGACACCAAUGCCUCAUGAAUCACAUCAAAUACAAGUCUUUACCAUCUGAGCAGCAUGACUUUAUUUAUUUUUUUUCCUCAACUCAUCUGCAAUGCUAGAGGGGCUGUCCACAGCUUCCAAUUCGGGCUUUGCUGCCACUGUGUGAUGCUUCAUGUUGAAGCAGCAUUUUCUUUUCAAUGUAAACAUUUUUAGAAACACUGUGAGGAGAUUUCAGUGUAACAAAUGUACCAGAAUAGCUGUGUCUAGCCUGCUGGGUGAAAUCCUUUUUUGAAAUAAUGUUGGAACAAAGAAAUUCAUUCCCUGUAAAUGGGGAGCUAGUUAGUAAAUCAUAUAAACAGUAUUCACACCCUGUGUUCCAGACGAGGUGCUCUCCCUGCUGCUGUCAGCAACAUUUGCUGCCAAGUCCACUAACUACUUUACCCUGACCUUCAGUGGAUAAACAAUAUAAUCUUCCAUGCUGCAUCUCAUUAGCAUCUGCUAGUCAAGAAAAGCAUGUCUGUUUCAUAAUUACAUCACGAAAGCAUCUUGCUGUAUUAGAACAGCAAAGCAUUUGAAUUAGAAAAUGCACUUGUCCAAGAUUUCCAAGCCAGUAUAAAAGAAUUACAAUUGCCAUCAUUUUACUUGUUAUGUAUGUCCGGUAUAGAACAUGGUCUGAUGGUAGAGUGGGAAGAGAAGGUAUAAACUGGUCACAAUCUUCCAUAUUUAUUUUAAUGUUUUACACUCAUCUUGAUUUUGUCAAAUGUAUUAUUUUUAAAAUUUCUAACUUACCCUUUAAAAAAGAACAUACAACAACAUUUUAACUAUUUUCCUUGGGAACAAAAAGUUUUCCCUUGCCCUUGUUGAAUGACAAUUUGUAAGUCUGUCCUAAUAAAUUUAUCAAACUAGUUAUACAUUCAUAUCCAUUUAGCAAUAUCUAUAAUGUCACCAUUUCUAAAAGAGGCAGCAGUGUGAAAAGGUUAUCAAUUUAUUUUUUAAAUUAUUUUUAUUUUUAAUUUUUGUGGGUACAUGGUGUAUAUAUUUAUUGGGUACAUGAGAUGUUUUGAUACAGGCAUGCAAUGUGAAAUAAUCACAUCAUGGAGAAUGAAGUAUGCAUCUUCUCAAACGUUUAUACUUUGUGUUACAAACAAUCCAAUUAUACUCUUUUGUUGUUGAAAGGGUGGUGGGGGUUAGGGGGUGGGGAUGGUUAAUGGGUACAAAAAAUAGACAUAAUUUAUAGUCAAGGUUAUCAAUUUAGAAGAACUUAAGUCAACAAAGCAGAACUUCCUAAUAUGAAAUCAAAUGAGGUGGCUUAACAUUGCCCCUUAUUCUGUCAUUUGUAUGAAGGUCUAGAUGAUGCCAUCAUUCUACUUUAGGGGAAAUAUUAGGACGAUAUAAUGGAGCUAUCUUUGAUGGGGGAGUGGAAUGACUGGCAUAAUUUUGCCUCCUGGAGUGAAUGGUAAACAAACAGAAAGGAAAAUAGCCACAGCUACUUAGAACUUCAUGGCCAAAAGGGAUGAGAAAGAUCAAUGAUUAAAAGGUUAUAAAGUUGCAUAGAACAUAAGCAGAAGCAUGUACUUUCUAUCCAUAGGAACUGUAGGAUUAGCCAAUGAGUUUUAAAAUGGUGGUGGGUGAAAUUUUUUCAAAUGGGCCUUGAUUCAAAACAUUUAAAAAAUGGGAACACUCACUUAAAAAUGGGUGAAAUACUUAAAGUAAUUCACAAAAUACAUAUAGCUAGAGUCUGGAAAAAUUCAUAUGCACUAGAACUUAGAGGUAAAAACUGAAUAAAAAAUGGGAUAUUGUUUAUCACCUAUGAACUUAAUAAAAAUGACAAAGAAUGAUAAUACUUAGUAUUGGUGAUUGUGUUGACAAAUGGGCAUUCUAAUUCACUGCUGGUGUAUACAUUUUCUGAAGAGCAAGCUGAAGGUCAAUAUACCAACAUGCUAACUGACUUUUCUGAGAGGUGAAACUGUAAGUGAUUUUACUUUACUUCUUUACAUUUCCUGCAGCCCACAAAUAAUUUUUUUUAAUUUUUAAUUUUUGUGAGUACACAAUAGGUGUGCAUAUUUAUGAGGUACAUGAGAUAUUUUGAUACAGGUAUAUAACACAUAAUAAUCAUAUCAGGGUAAAUGGGGGUAUCCAUCACCUCAAGCAAUUAUCAUGACUGUGUUACAAAUAUUCCGAUAAUACUGUUUUAGUUAUAUUUAGAUGUACAAUAAAUUAUUGUUUACUGUAAUCACCUUGUUGUGCUUUCAAAUACUAGAUUGUAUUCAUUCUAUCUAACUAUAUUUUUGUACCCAUUAACCAUUCCCACUUUCCUUCCCCCCGAGUACCCUUCUCAGCCUCUGGUAACCAUCACUCUACUAUCUACCUCCAUGACUACAAUUGUUUUAAUUUUUAGCUCCCACAUAUGAGUGAAAACAUAUGAAGUUCGUCUUUCUGAGCCUGGAUUAUUUCACUUAACACAAUGGCCUCCAG
RNAcentral lists this long non-coding RNA (6120 nucleotides) under Homo sapiens (human). RNAcentral describes it as "HSALNT0284192". The record is from RNAcentral. Lineage: Eukaryota; Metazoa; Chordata; Mammalia; Primates; Hominidae.